UCGAGCUUGUUUUUGUAUUUUCCUUUUAGUUCGGCAAAUGUUAACGAAUUUCGGUGUAAAUUUUGUUCAGAGCCUUUUGCUUCUGAAAUUUCAAUGUCGCAUUGCGGUCUUCAGUAGGAAUUCAGAACACCUGUUUUUUCAGACUCGAAAGUUUUUCCUUUUGAGUUUUCUUUUUGAUUUUUCGUAUGUAAUGCUCCAAUUUAUUAUCCAGAGCAUCUGCCUCUAAAUUUUAUGGCAAAAAUUGUUCUGAGUAAAUUCAUGCUUAUUUUCAUGAAUUCAUUAGAUUGCUCAUUUUGCUUAUUUUCUAAUGAAACAUCAUGGAGUUUGUUUUAUUUUGAGCUAUUUUUUGAAUUUUGAGUCUAGAUUUACUCAUUCUUCUUUCGAUCAAGGAAUUUUAGAUCUUGAAAUUUCUAUUCCUAACUCGAUGGAUGAUCUGAUUGCAAACACCGGAAGUAACAAUGCAAAAUCGCAAGCGGCGUGCAGAGCUAAAGGAGUUGGUGUUUCUGGCCAUUUUGAACUUAGGAGUUGUACCAUACCAUGCAUCCACAACCCCGGGAGUUGUACCAUUCACACAUUCCCUCUGAAUCUCUCCCUCAUAUCUUCUUUAAAACGAUCCCAGGUGGUUAAGAGGUUGUUGCGCCGGAGUCCUCUGAUCCACGACAAGGCUGCGCGCGUCAUAUGAAACCAUGCAAUCUGGAUGCGUGAAUCAUCGAAGAUGCCAUGGAAUAUAAAAUAUUCUCCGGCUUGAUAAAUCCAGCCCUCCGGAUCCACCCCCGUGAAUUUUGGUAGGUCCAGUUUGAUUGCCCGUGUUGCUCUACUUGCUGCGUUUGGAUCGGCUUGGUUUCGAUAUCCUCCCAAAUUAAAGUAGCUUGUAUGUCCCUGACCAUACCAGCAAUUUCCGCAACCUGCCCGGCUAAGUUCGCUAUUGAUGCGUCCUGUCGUCGUGUAACUUCUGUGAAUUUAGACGUUUAGUCUGUUAAUACAAUUCCGAUUUCUUGCCAGAUUUCGUCGAACCCAUUGCUCGUUUCAUCUGCUUCUGCCAUGUUUACAAUUCUGUAAUCGAUAUAAAGAAAAAAAAAUAAAUUACUAGUACGAUGUGCUUUCCUUUAGCGGAUUUAGUUAAGGCCUGGAACAAGCCUUGGCGUGUGAAAGUUUAUAGUCGUUUUCCGACUGUGGUAAUCUGCUCUUUGGAGAAGCCGACUGUCUAAUUCAUUGAAAGCACCAAUGUAACGUUUUGCCAACGUUGAAGGAGUAGGAUGGAAAAGAAAUCUCCCGUGGGAGCCGCCGAGCCGGUGGUUGGAAAAAGACUCUCCCGAGCCUGUGGAAACGAGAAACAGAAUUGGGUUCCAAAAU
This 1353-nucleotide long non-coding RNA is filed under the name Zostera marina. Its description in RNAcentral is "long non-coding RNA (ZMAR_LNC005711)". The record is from RNAcentral. Lineage: Eukaryota; Viridiplantae; Streptophyta; Magnoliopsida; Alismatales; Zosteraceae.